ACAAUUUUCAGCGACGGAUAUCUUGGCUAGCACCUAUGAAGGGCGCAGCGAAGUGCGAUAAUCGUUGUGAAUUGCACUCCGUGAACCAAGGCCUCUUGAACGUGCAUUGCGCUCUUGGGAUGCCUGAGAGCAUGUCUGCUUCAGUG
Molecule: ribosomal RNA, 146 nt
Filed under: Symbiodinium kawagutii
Lineage: Eukaryota; Dinophyceae; Suessiales; Symbiodiniaceae
Description: 5.8S ribosomal RNA
Rfam family: 5.8S ribosomal RNA
About the family: 5.8S ribosomal RNA (5.8S rRNA) is a component of the large subunit of the eukaryotic ribosome.
Source: RNAcentral